Long non-coding RNA from Syngnathus typhle (broad-nosed pipefish), 426 nucleotides. RefSeq lists it as uncharacterized. NCBI's taxonomy places the organism in Eukaryota, Metazoa, Chordata, Actinopteri, Syngnathiformes, Syngnathidae. The transcript has 3 exons. The record is from RefSeq and is a predicted model, not a curated record.
UAAAUAAAUUGUAGUUUGCAGGCAGCGCUGCUUGUCAAGCUGACCUCAUAAAUGCGGUUAGCCAGAUGAUUAAUAUGCAUGUAUGUGAGCCGGCCUAUUCCGAGGAAUUCUCCUUCCCUUGAGGCAUUUUUCCGGCAGGCACUUUAGAAGGUCUUGUUAUUGAAUCGGAGCCACAAAAUGAGCUUUUUUUUUCCGUGUUCAGAAUACACAAGAGCAGAUUCUAGGAAUACUGAAAAAGUACUCAACAAUGAACUCGCUUGUGCUGAUCUGAGGAGUGUGUGACUUCCCUCGAAGCAAAAGUGACGCAAAGAUUUCUGUGUGGAAGGGGCUGCACAGUUGAACUUACCGAUGACGACGAACUGAGAGUCAGGUGUGAACGAGGCUUCUAGAGUGACCCCUUUGUUGUUGUUGUAUCCCUGCAGGUAG